This 502-nucleotide ribosomal RNA is filed under the name uncultured bacterium. RNAcentral describes it as "partial 16S ribosomal RNA". It matches the Rfam family "Bacterial small subunit ribosomal RNA", at positions 30 to 523 of the family's 1533-position model. The record is from RNAcentral.
AUUGAACGCUGGCGGCAUGCCUUACACAUGCAAGUCGAACGGCAGCACGGGUGCUUGCACCUGGUGGCGAGUGGCGAACGGGUGAGUAAAGUAUCGGAACGUGCCUGGUAGUGGGGGAUAACUAGUCGAAAGACUAGCUAAUACCGCAUACGAUCUAAGGAUGAAAGCAGGGGACCUUCGGGCCUUGUGCUAUCAGAGCGGCCGAUAUCUGAUUAGCUAGUUGGUGGGGUAAAAGCCCACAAAGGCGACGAUCAGUAGCUGGUCUGAGAGGACGCGAAGCCACACUGGAACUGGGACACGGACCAGACUCCUACGGGAGGCAGCAGUGGGGAAUUUUGGACAAUGGGGGCAACCCUGAUCCAGCAAUGCCGCGUGAGUGAAGAAGGCCCUCGGGUUGUAAAGCUCUUUUGUCAGGGAAGAAAAGGCUGUGGCUAAUAUCCACAGCUGCUGACGGUACCUGAAGAAUAAGCACCGGCUAACUACGUGCCAGCCGCCGCAGUAA